UACAGAGGUCUCAACCGUUGUUCGGAUUUAUUGGGCGUAAAGAGCGUGUAGGCGGCCGUACAGGUCAGCUGUGAAAACUCGAGGCUCAACCUCGAGACGUCGGUUGAAACCGUACGGCUAGAGUCCGGAAGAGGAGAGUGGAAUUCCCGGUGUAGCGGUGAAAUGCGCAGAUAUCGGGAAGAACACCCGUGGCGAAGGCGGCUCUCUGGGACGGUACUGACGCUGAGACGCGAAAGCGUGGGGAGCGAACAGG
RNAcentral lists this ribosomal RNA (253 nucleotides) under uncultured bacterium. Its description in RNAcentral is "partial 16S ribosomal RNA". It matches the Rfam family "Bacterial small subunit ribosomal RNA", at positions 524 to 776 of the family's 1533-position model. The record is from RNAcentral.